CAGAAAAAAAUUAUGAGACUUUGGCCUUGGAAGUCUCAUAGUGAGUGCCUGUCAUGUUAUAACAGGGCAAAAACUGGCUGCUCUCCUCUACAUUCGGUGGCCUUGGGAACACCAAAGAUGUGGCCUUGGCAACACUUGCACAUCGAGGUCAAGAGGCCAGGAAGAGCAUCCUGCCUUCUAAAUCCUUUGAAGUUUACUCGAAAUUCUCAUCCUGAACUGGACUUUUGGACUCAACAACAAAAGGGAUGA
This is a long non-coding RNA of Pan paniscus (pygmy chimpanzee), 249 nucleotides long. The record is from Ensembl. NCBI's taxonomy places the organism in Eukaryota, Metazoa, Chordata, Mammalia, Primates, Hominidae.